UGAGUAACGAUAAAGGGGGUGAAAAACCCCCUCGCCGGAAGAUCAAGGUUUCCUGCGCAACGUUAAUCGGGGCAGGGUGAGUCGGACCCUAAGGCGAGGCUGAAAGGCGUAGUCGAUGGAAAACCGGUUAAAAUUCCGGUACCGGCAAUUACUGCGAUGGAGAGACGGAGAAGGCUAGGCUGGCAGGGCGUUGGUUGUCCCUGUUUAAGCGAGUAGGGGGAGUGUCUAGGUAAAUCCGGAUGCUCAUUGCCCUGAGACGUGAUGACGAGUUGGCCCUUGUGGCUGACGAAGUAGCUGAUGCCAUGCUUCCAGGAAAAUCUUCUAAGCUUCAGGUAAUUGUCGUCCGUACUGUAAACCGACACAGGUGAUCUGGUAGAGAAUACCAAGGCGCUUGAGAGAACUUGGGUGAAGGAACUAGGCAAAAUAGUACCGUAACUUCGGGAGAAGGUACGCUCCCAGACGUGAAGUCCUUGCGGCGUAAGCGUUGGGGAGUCGAAGAAAUCAGGUAGCUGCAACUGUUUAUUAAAAACACAGCACUCUGCAAACACGUAAGUGGACGUAUAGGGUGUGACGCCUGCCCGGUGCCGGAAGGUUAAUUGAUGGGGUUAGCGCAAGCGAAGCUCUUGAUCGAAGCCCCGGUAAACGGCGGCCGUAACUAUAACGGUCCUAAGGUAGCGAAAUUCCUUGUCGGGUAAGUUCCGACCUGCACGAAUGGCGUAAUGAUGGCUACACUGUCUCCACCCAAGACUCAGUGAAAUUGAAAUCGCUGUUAAGAUGCAGUGUUCCCGCGGCUAGACGGAAAGACCCCGUGAACCUUUACUAUAGCUUCACAUUGGACUUUGAUAUUACUUGUGUAGGAUAGCUGGGAGGCUUUGAAACCAUGACGCCAGUUGUGGUGGAGCCGUCCUUGAAAUACCAGCCUGGUGAUGUUGGGGUUCUAACUUAGGUCCAUUAUCUGGAUUGAGGACAAUGUGUGGUGGGUAGUUUGACUGGGGCGGUCUCCUCCUAAAGAGUAACGGAGGAGCACGAAGGUACGCUAAUCACGGUCGGAAAUCGUGAGGUUAGUGCAAUGGCAUAAGCGUGCUUGACUGCGAGACAGACAUGUCGAGCAGGUACGAAAGUAGGUCUUAGUGAUCCGGUGGUUCUGUAUGGAAGGGC
Molecule: ribosomal RNA, 1158 nt
Filed under: marine metagenome
Description: bacterial LSU rRNA
Rfam family: Bacterial large subunit ribosomal RNA
Source: RNAcentral